This 15453-nucleotide long non-coding RNA is filed under the name Brassica napus (rape). RNAcentral describes it as "long non-coding RNA (BNAP_LNC001940)". Lineage: Eukaryota; Viridiplantae; Streptophyta; Magnoliopsida; Brassicales; Brassicaceae. The record is from RNAcentral.
CUCAGUUACUUUUUUUUUUAACACUAGAAGAUUAUAUAUUCAUUGAUACUAAUACAGAGGUUUAACCAUGAGGCCAGCGAGUUACAUUCCAACCCCUGGAAACAGAAGCCAACGGACAAAAGAAAGUCCUUGGAGACAUUAGCCGGAAACUACCGGAAACUAAAUAACAACGCAGUCCAUCCCAUAAACCAAAGUACAACAAAAAUCAUACUAGAUCACUAAGAACAAAAUACCCAAUAGCAGAAUAACCUGAAUCAAGUCGGAGCAUAGAAAUAGCACAAUCAAAGUCGAAAUUAUUGGCGUCUGAGACUCAAGCUUGGACCCAUUAUAUUGCUCCCAAAGAAUUGCAGAGCCAGAGAGUGCAAACGCUUGAAACGAGACGAGGAAGACGAGGAGAGAACUUUUUUUGCCUUGCGACUUCCAGACGACUUGAGAGAAAACGAGACAAAGCUCCUAACUUUGAACUGGAGCCAGAGAAUCUCUUCUGAGAAACUGAGAAUAGAGAACUCCACUUGAACACAGAUUCUCCACCAAUUGAAGUAUCAACAACAUCACACCAAAAGAUCCGAGCACGAGAAAGCAAAGCCAAGUGAGGAUAACUCACAUGCAAAGGUCAACCACCGUAAAUGGAGUCACAGACACCACAUGCAAAGCUUUCUUUUCAAUAUCAACUUCUGAAUCUAGAUCAUGAUUUAAGAAAAUACAAGUUUAUGAGAUGGAUGCUAAGCAAAAGAGAACACCGAAAAGGGAACAACUAUACAAAGACAACCGGACCGACGCCGUGACUAUGAGAGUCACUGAACGUCGGCCGGAAAACGAGAUCAACAAAGUUGAGCGGUAAAAAUUGAUCGGUGAUGAGAGAAGGGAGAGAAAAUAAGAGAGAGAAAAUAUGUUGUGAGCUUAGUUACUUUACUUUUGUCCAAUCAGGUUAAAUUUGUUUUCAACUUGUUUACACCAAAAAAGAAAAAAAGUAGAGCAAUUUGUUAUUCUACAAUAACUAAGAGGAAAAUUUUACUCAGAGAUUUGUUUUUCUUUUGUUCCAUUUUCCACCUACUUUUUUCCACGUUUUUACUCUGUUAAAUACCAAUCAGAACCUUAGUUGUGUGCUCAAUCAAUGCAAUUUGUAGCUUGAUUAUGUUGUCAGAAUAUUAAGAAACAAGUUAUACAAAUUUACAAAGUAUCAAAUCAGCUAGCAUUUUAUUUAGGUAGUAAGUUGGAUUUGAUGGAACGUAACAUAAUAUAGUCGUCAACAUGUGGUGCGGAUUUGUCAUUAAUUCAAAACGUCUGCCUAACUUGAGCUACGAGCUAUUAGAUAGAUGUGUGUAUAUAUUUAAAUGAAAAUGCAUCGAAUGACUGAUGUGAUUUUUUUACUUUAAGAAAUAAGAAGUGAGUUGGAUAUAUCUUUUAUAUUUCAAUAAAAGGGCCAAAGUUGGAUUUUUUUUUUGUAACUUAUAAAGUUGGUUUUUCCAUGUGCCAAAAUAUGGUAUUAAUACCAUGAAAUAUAGUUUCUAUUUUAAGUCGUGUAAUAUUGUAAGGAGCAGUAGUCUAUAUUUGUAUACUUAUUUUCCAAUUAAUUACAGUUUUUUGGGUAAUUUACUGAUAAGCAAAUUAAGGGCAGAUAAAUUUUUUUUAAACACUUUUUUUUUUAAACACAUUAAGGGCAGAUAAUUAUAAUUCUAUUAUUAUUAUUAUACCACGUGGGAGAAAAUGAAUAUAUUAUUAAGACCAGUUUUUUUUUUAAAUGAAUAUAUUAUUUUCUGAAGAGUACGGAGUUCUCUGUAGAACGAGAAACGCCGUUACAUCAACUGACAGCAAACUCGGUGGAUUCUCGCCAAGCAAAAGAUUUGUGCAGAAAAAUUCAAACAUAAUAACGUUGAUUCUCAUUUUCUUUUAUUUAUAGAAACUAACCUAAACGACGUUAGCAUGACGACGUCACCUGAGAAUCCCGAUGGACAUCUUCAGGACUUGAGUACUUUGCAGUUUGCAGACUUGCAAUUGUAAAGUGAUUUCAAUUAACAUCUACAGUCAACUCUUUCUUUACUAGGCCAGUGGAACUUUCAAUUGAGGGGACACGUCAGCAAAGGGAGACGCAAAAGGCGAUUAGGGUUUUGAAGUUUUUGGCUCACGUAACAUCUUGUCCAGCCGAUGUCGGCGCCGGAAACUCCUGUAGUUCCGGUGACGGACCCGCCGUUGAGUAAGGAUGGUCCAGUGAAACAAGGGAAGCCUUCAUGGGUGAAGGUAGUUGAGAAUGGUCCGUCCCUUACGGAGCAUGUUUUGGAGAUAGGGUUGAGUGAUGGGAAAGAAGUAGUCGAGGUUCCAGACGACGUGAUAGCAAACUCUGUUCCUCUUUGGGACGAUCUGCUAGAGGGACGUUUCCUCGCAAAGGCACCACAUGUGGCACGGAUCCAUUACAUAGUGAAUAGGAUCUGGCCUCUUGGAGAUAAAUCAAUUAAGAUUGAUGUCUAUGAAGUUAAUGAGGUCACUGUGAAAUUCAGAAUCAAAGAUGAAGCAACAAGGAAACGAGUACUUCGUAGGGGGAUGUGGAAUAUCGCGAAUAUUCCGUUGGUUCUCUCAAAAUGGUCACCGGAAGAUGAAGAAGAAGAGGAGGAAGAAAUCACAACCAUACCAAUGUGGAUCGUCAUGAAGAAUGUUCCUCGCAGAAUGUUCUCUUGGAAAGGACUAGGUUUCAUUGCUAGUGCAGUGGGUAAACCUAAGAGAUUGCAUCCGGAUACACUUCUGUGUAAUAGUUUUGAAGAAGCAAAAGUUUUUGUUGAAGCAGAUAUGACAAAAGAGCUACCAACUCAUCAUCGUUUCAAGUCAAAGCUGGGCGUAGAUGCGGAGGUGGAGUUUACCUACCCAUGGUUACCGGACAGAUGCACAAUCUGCUCUAAAUGGGGACAUUUGCAUGCAGCUUGUAAGUCAAAAGUGAAAAUCCUAACCAAAGACAAGCCACAACAUGUGGAGAAGAAUGGGCGGGAGAAUACACAAGAGAGAGUUCUACACAAUAAAGAGGCUGAUACAGUACAAAGAAAUGAUAAGGAAGUUGAGGUUGUGGUAAGUAUUGAGAGUAUGAAGGAUUCUGAAGCUGCCAUAGGAUGUGCAGAUGGAGAAAAGAAAUCAGAUGAUCUUCUCACUAGGGGAAACAUGUCGUCAGACAUAGAGAUCGUUCACCACGAAUCUGAGAAGUCUAAUGGCAAUACAUCUGAGGGGGAGAACUCAGAAUGGCUAAAUGUAUCACCUACUAAGACUGGAAGGUCGGGGAACAAGAUUACGGCUCAAAACCAGAAUCAUAAUCUCAGCUCACCAUCUCGAUUUGCAAUUUUAUCUACGGCGGAGGAUUCAGUAGAAGAAGUAGAUGAAAAUGAAGCCAAUAUUACUGGAAAGGAAACAGAGGAAGGAGAAAUAAUUCCUGAGAGUGUGGGGAAUGAAACAGAUGAAGGAAAAGAAGAAAGUGAAGUCAACUCUCAGGAAGUAAGAGAAACCAACAUAAUGAAGGAAAAAGUUGAGGUGAGAGAAGAACGAUUACUUCGCUCCACUAUUCCUCGACCAACUCGUGGCUCCACCAAAGCUCAAUCAGACUCUCGAAGCACUAGUACUAAGGACACAAUCCAAAGUACUGGUGGAAGAAAGAAACACUCUAAAAAACAUUAAUGUCGGGUUUCUUCUGGAACAUCCGAGGUUUUAAUAAGAAGAAGAAGCAUGUAGUUGUAAAGAAGUGGGUUGAAGAUAAAGGGUUUCAAUUUGGUGCACUUUUGGAAACGAGGGUUACUGAAGGAAGAAGUAGGAGGAUCUCUGCAUCAGUUUUCAAUGGCUGGUCUAUGAUGUCCAAUUAUGAAGAUAAUUCUUUGGGUCGCAUUUGGUUUGUAUGGCGGUCUGACGUGCGGGUUACGCCUGUGUUUAAAAGUGAUCAAUUGAUCACGGUGUCUAUUGCUCUAGAGGGGGACGAAAAAGAAUUUUUUCUCUCUGUUGUCUAUGCUCUUAAUACAGAAACAGAGAGGCAGGUAUUGUGGGAGGAUUUGAAGAAUCAUCAAAAUUCUCCAGUAUUUCGAAGUAAACCAUGGCUGGUGAUGGGGGAUUUUAACGAAACUCUUGACAUAGCCGAGCAUUCACUGUAUGAAACGAGCCCAGUAGUCACACAUGGUAUGAGAGAGUUUCAGAGUGUCGCACAACAUUGUUCUCUGCUUGAUCUCCCUUCUCACGGUCCAGUUUAUACAUGGAGUAAUAAAAGGACUGAGGGGAUAAUCUCAAAGAAGCUGGACCGUGCUUUGUUUAAUGACUACUGGCUCAACUCUUUUCCGGGCUCGUAUAAUGUGUUUGAAGCAGGAGGGUGUUCAGACCAUUUACGGUGUAGGAUACAUUUGAGUUCAGAGCAGAGUCGACCUAAGAGGCCUUUCAAAUUUGUUAAUGCGGUGGCAAGUCUUGAAGGCUUUCUACCGAUGAUGGCGCAGUAUUGGACGGCUUCGGUUCCCAUAUACUCAUCGACCUCAUCUUUAUACAGAUUCUCCAAAAAAUUGAAAGACCUGAAGCCAAAGAUCAGGAUCUUAGCGAAAGAGAGUAUGGGGAACCUGACAAGAAAAACAAAGGAAGCAUAUGCGGAUCUCUGUUUAAAACAGGAACAAUGUAUGCAUGAUCCUUCAGAGAGAAACUCCGAAGAAGAAGCCAGAGCCUAUGAUAGAUGGGACAAAGUAUCAGACCUAGAGGAGAGUUUCUUAAAGCAAAAGUCAAAGGUUCACUGGUUGAACGUGGGUGACAAGAAUAAUAAGGUGUUCCAUCGAGCAGCCACUGUGCGAAACAUUCAAAACUCGAUAAAAGAAGUAGUCUGCCGGGAUGGUAGAGUGGUACGAAAACCAGAUGAGAUCAAAGAGGAAGCAGAGGGUUUUUUUAAGGAGUUUUUACAGCACAAGCCAGAUGAUUUUGAGGGCAUAGAGGUGGAGGAGUUGAGGGACCUCUUGACAUACCGCUGCUCUGACUCGGUGAACGAAAUGUUAUUAAAAGAGGUCACUGCAGAGGAGAUAACCAAAGUACUCUUUGCAAUGCCAAGUGAUAAAUCUCCAGGACCGGAUGGUUACACGAUUGAGUUUUUUAAGUCUGCAUGGCCAAUCAUCGGAAAGGAAUUCAUCAUCUCUAUCCAGUCUUUCUUUGAGAAAGGUUUCUUACCUAAAGGCAUCAAUUCCACAAUUUUGGCUCUGAUACCUAAGAAGACUCCAGCCCGCGAGAUGAGAGAUUACCGUCCGAUCUCUUGCUGUAAUGUUAUUUAUAAAGUCAUCUCCAAACUCAUCGCAAACAGACUGAAGCACACUCUUCCAGAUUUUCUUGCUUUGAACCAGUCUGCGUUUGUAAAAGGCAGGCUACUUAUUGAGAAUCUCCUACUAGCUACUGAGUUGGUGAAAGACUAUCAUAAGGACUCGAUCUCUCAGCGGUGUGCUUUGAAAAUUGACAUUUCCAAGGCUUUUGAUUCAGUUCAAUGGAGUUUUCUCUUGAAAACUCUUGAGGCUAUGAAUUUUCCAGCUCAAUUUAUUCAUUGGAUUUCUCUUUGUAUCACCACGGCAUCCUUUUCGGUUCAGGUGAAUGGUGAGCUUGCUGGAUAUUUCCAAAGUGAGAGGGGUUUAAGACAGGGAUGCGCCCUUUCACCAUAUCUCUUUGUCAUAUGCAUGGAUGUGUUGUCAAAGCUUCUCGACAGAUCUGCCCAAAGACAUCAACUCGGUUAUCAUCCUAAGUGUAAGAACUUGGGCCUCACACACUUAAGUUUUGCGGACGAUAUCAUGGUCUUUACGGAUGGGAGAGUAAGAUCAAUUGAAAGUAUAGUGGAUGUGUUUGAUUACUUUGCGAAAAUAUCUGGCCUAAGGAUAAGUAUGGAGAAAUCAACAAUAUAUUAUGCUGGAAUAUCUGAGGAAGAACGAGAAGAGCUGAUAAACCGGUUUGAAUUUGCUUCGGGUACGUUACCGGUGCGCUAUUUGGGUCUACCGUUGCUUACUAGACAGAUGCGUGCGNNNNNNNNNNNNNNNNNNNNNNNNNNNNNNNNNNNNNNNNNNNNNNNNNNNNNNNNNNNNNNNNNNNNNNNNNNNNNNNNNNNNNNGCUUAUUGAAAAGAUCAAGAGCCGUAUCUCUACGUGGACAAACCGGUUUCUCUCCAUGGCUGGGAGACUGCAGCUCAUUCGUUCAGUACUGAUGAGUAUUGUAAACUUCUGGAUGACGGGUUUCAAGCUGCCGAGUCAAUGUAUCAAGGAGAUUGAUAGUCUCUGCUCAGCUUUCUUAUGGUCAGGACCUUCUCUAAUCACAACGAAAGCGAAAGUAUCAUGGGAUGUUGUGUGCUUACCAAGGAAAGAAGGAGGUCUGGGCCUUAGAUCACUCAAGGAAAUGAACAAGGUGCUCUGUCUGAAACUGGUGUGGAGAUUACUCUCUGCUCAACCUUCUUUGUGGAGCAAAUGGAUACAUACAUACUUGCUUAAAAGAGACACUUUCUGGACAGUGAAAAACACAACUUCUGCAGGUUCAUGGAUGUGGCGGAAGCUUUUAAAAUACAGAGACAUUGCAAAAAAAUUUCAUCGCAAGAAGGUAGGUGAUGGUAAUCAAACAUCUUUCUGGUUUGACUCCUGGUCUUCACUAGGAUGUCUAUUUGAUCUCACGGGGGCCCGAGGUUGUAUUGACAUGGGUAUCCGCUUGACUGCGACUGUCUCUUCGGCUCUGCAACGACGCCGGCGAAAUCAUCGCAGUGAGAUUUUCAAUAGUAUUGAGGCUGUUCUGGAGCAUCAGAGGAGUAAUCUAACAAAUGCGGCUGACUACUCUAUCUGGAAGAGUUCUUCUGAUACAUACAAGUCUGUCUUUACUACAAAAAAUACAUGGAAUCUACUCCAUCAGGAAGGAACCACAGUUGAAUGGUGCAAAGGUCUCUGGUUCAAACAUCAUACUCCAAAGUUUGCAUUCUUCACAUGGCUUGCUCUACACAACCGGCUCUCAACAGGAGACCGUAUGCUUCAGUGGAAUGCAGGAGUUAGCUCGGCAUGUAUCUUCUGUAACCAGUUUGAAACUAGGGAUCAUAUAUUUUUCUCUUGCACUUACUCGGCUGCUGUCUGGUCUCAGCUGAUGAGAGGUUUGCUGCGUACUCGAUACACAACACUAUGGACAGAAGUGUUGGAGCUCACGCUUGACAACAGUCUUGGUAUGAUCACCACCUUUCUUACACGAUAUGCGUUUCAGAUCACCAUACAUACUCUAUGGCGUGAGAGAAACGAUAGACGGCACGGGGCAACUCCGAUCUCAGUUCAAGCAUUAGUAAAGAUGCUGGACAGGCAAAUCAGGAACAAAUGUUUAUCUUUUAGGCAGCUGGGGGACUUUACUUAUGCUGCAAGCUUAAGCGAUUGGCUUGCCACACGCUAACAAUGGAGCUGUUUUUUUAGAAUCUUUCUCGUCAUAAGAAUUAUGUAGCACUUGAUGCAAACAAUGUGUAUUUUUCUUUUUGAGUAAAUUUAACAUAUAUUCAAAAAAANNNNNNNNNNNNNNNNNNNNNNNNNNNNNNNNNNNNNNNNNNNNNNNNNNUUUAACAAUUCUUAAAAAAAAAAAAAAAAAAAAAAAAAUUAACAUCUACAGUCCAACUAGAUUUUGUAGUCUCUAUGGAUUCACAUAGAAAAAAAACCCCCCUCUAUAAAUGUUAAUCCAUGUCAUGACGAUUGUAUCACAGUUACAACAUUAUCCCUCUAUCCACAUGGACCACAUCCAUAUUGCCAUUAGAAUAAAUAUAGUUUAUAAGUAAUUUCGUGUAACUAAAUAAAUUUCAGUAUCAUUGCUAAGAAUUCCGAAUAGAAGUACAAUUGAAUUAUUGAAGUAUGAGUCCUUAUCUCAGGCACUCGAGUUCGAGUUCUUUGUUACCAUAGGGUGGAUGAAAGUACGUCAGCAGGUCCCGCUUAAAUAUAUAUACAAUAUUUUGUCCAAAGGAUUUUUUUUUUGAACAAAUCCAAAGGAUUAUUUAAGUUAAGUUUUAAUAGUUUUUGCUGUUGGGAUGUUAUUUAAUUAAGACCAACCAGACCAUUAAUAUUUUGUACGUUGUUAUUAUUAUUAUUAUUUUAUUUUUUUAAAACUAUUUUGUACAUUAUUACUGUUUGAGCAUUUUUACCUUCCAUACAAAAGGUUUAAAUGUUUAUACAUUGCUAGGUAGAUAUGCUACAAUUAGGCUUGCAAAGCACCCAACGUAUUUACGGAGAGACUUUUUGUGGAGAGAGAUUAUUUACAGAAUUGUAUUAAGUAAAAUGUAGGUAUUUUUUAAGUCAAACAAUCAUGAAAAAAAGAACAUUGCUUGGCGAUCUUCAUAUGUGCUAAUUGCCAAAUCCGUGAUGUAAUGCGAGAAAGCGAAAACAAGAAGAGAGUAACUAAUAAUUACGUGCACUUUAAUUUACUGUAAUACUUUAUUGGAGUGCUUUGGUUCUUUUCUUAAUUUUGUGGUCCAUCUUAGCCAAAAGAGGAAAUACUUUCAUGUAUAGAUAAUUGUAACAUAACACACAUUUGCUUAAUGUUUUUUUUUUGAACAUUCAAUUGCUUAAUGUUCGAACUCACAGUUUAUCAUUCAGUUUCAUUAUUAUCCCACGCAGACGAAAAAUCCUGUAAUGAUUGUUUCAAACAUGAUUAUUACAAUACAUUCGAAUUUACUUUCCCGUUUUCUUUAUCAUUUUCUGGCGGAUCUUAGAAUAUAGCUGUUGCAAAGUUAUUCGUUACGGUGUUGAACUUAUUAUAUACACUAGGUUUUAAACUCGUAUAGUUUACUUAAAACACGUCUAUAAUACUUUUAAGCGAAAAAUUAUCCUCCAUAGUUGUCAUCAUUAUAUUUUUAGAGAUUACAUAUUUUUGUCAACAAAUACGAAUAAUAUAGGUCAUAGUAAUGUACGAAAUGUGAAAUAUGAUGUCUGCAACAAAACACAACUUUCCACCCAUAAGGAACAUUUUUUUCUUAGCUGCAAUGCAUGGCUUAUCGGGCUAUUCACCUGCGCAAUUUGCUAAAAAUAAAGGUCGUUGCGAUUGCUCUCUAACUAUAUAGAAUUAAAAAAAAAAACUGUAUACAGAAAUAUUAAUGUAACUGAAUUGCUCAAAUUUUAUCAACCUUUGCGGGAUAACCAUCCACGCGUACUAUAACCAUAAUCGCAUGAUCAGAAUUUAUGGUGUAAGAAGUAAUUUAUUCCAGCAAAUAAAAUAAGAACACGACAAAAAGAAGACAUAAAAAGUACAAUAGAAAUGUCAGUAAGUACUGUAUGUGAAAGACUGAGACACAGCACAGUUUGUACAAAUAACCUGUUCGACUGUCACCGCUUAUAGCCGGUUACCUUCUCUCAAUUUCCCGUAUAGCCUCUCCCACCAAACCCGGAACUUUUCACUUUUCAGUUUAUAAAUUAAAUCAUUUAUACAAAUCUUUGAACAGCAUUACCUUACCUCAUUUGCCUAAUGAAAAUCCGCACAAUUACCAAACCCAAUGUUUAUGAGUGUACAUCGCUUGAAUACCUGUUAUAUUUUUUUCUUUUCUAGUUGUAACAUAUUUUUAAAUUUGAAGAAGUAAAUAGGUUCAAGGGGUCAGUGCCGAAGCUCACCUUCACGACCGCCUUCCUACAAGAUCAAGACUCGUAGCAUGGGGACUACCUAUCUCUGCCAACUUCCCCUUCUGCUCCAGAGACACGUAGACUAGGGAUCACAUCUUCCUCUCUUGCGAGUACAGCUUUGACGUCUGGCGUGAGGUGCUGAUUCGAUGUAACCCGCCUCCCCUCUAUUUCAUGGAAUGGUCUGAACUGCUGUCAUUGGAUCCGAGCUGCUGCAUCUGUGAAGCUAAAGCUCCUUCGGAAACUAGCUACACAAACAGUUAUAUAUCAUCUAUGGAAGCAGCCUAACAAUCUCAUUCACAAUCAGACGUCUCUGCCGGCGACUUCGGUGUUCCAUGGUAUUGAUAGAGAGUUGAAAAAUAAUAUUUCAGCUAGGAGACAAAGAAAGCAUUUCUCUCUCCUUAUGGCAUUGUGGUUGAGAUAAACUUGCCAUUUUUUUGUUUAACAUGGUGAUCUAUUUUGUUUUGCCGAGAUGGCUCAGAACUAAGAUUUUUUUUGUAAAAUUUUUUCUUUGUUUAUAUGAUAUUUACAGUGUAGCAAAAAAAGAAAAGAAGAAGUAUAUAGAUGCGGUGGAGUGAACGAGUUGUUUUUGGAUAAAAGGUUCUAAGAUCAUCUCCAAUCCCCCUCUAUUUUUAUCUCUAUAUUUUCCUCUAAAAUAGAGAAACUCUAUUAUAGAUGUGGAUUUGCUCUAAUGUAUGCUUCUAUAAUAGAGUUCCUCUAUUUAUAGGGAAAAAUAUAAAGAUUUGCUAUUUUCAUCUCUAAAUAUAGAGGUAAAAAGUAGGAUUCCUUUAUAUUUUCCUCUAAAAUAGAGGAACUCUAUUAUAGAGGCAUACAUUGGAGCAAAUCCACCUCUAUAAUAGAGAUUUCUAUUUUAGAGAAAAAUAUAGAGAUAUACAUUAGAGAUGCUCUUAGAAUGAAAGAAGUAAUGUGCAUUAUUGACCCAGUAAAGAUGUAGUGAGAAAACGUAAUACUUAUGAUGCAAUUGUUGCUUCCACCGCUAAAUAAUUUGUGUGUGUGUUUACUUGUAUUCAGGCCUUCAAGCUUUACAUUCUGAUUAGUUAUGAUGCCUAAUCGUAAAAAUUAAUUAAUAAAAAUAAUUUAGAAGAUUUUUAAAUGACCUGUUCUCGUAGUUUAAAAAUUAGUAUAUGAUUAUCAUAUGGAAUGUCCUUGAAAAUUAAUUUCUAAGAAAUAUAACUAAAUAUAAAGUACUUAUAUACGGACGGAAUCACGUAGAUAACUGGAAAAGUAUAAACAUAAAUAUUCAUGAAAACUUCGUUUACCUAUGAGAGCAUUAACUAGGUAGUUACAAACACCGAAAAGAUUAUCCUUUGACCAAACUGUAUUGCUCAAUAAAUUCUUCCGCACUCACUCACUAAACAGUAGACGUCUAUAUGAAGAUACACAUACAUACUUGAUACUUGAUCGUGCUUCAAAAAGAAAGCAGAAAAGCUCCUUUCUCUCUCUCUCUUAACCUCUCGUUUCAUCCGUCACCUUUAUUAUCUCUAAACACUGUUACACUAUUCUCUGUAUCUCUAUCUCUGCAUCUCUAAAUCAUCCUCUUCCAUGGCCGAUGCUUACGAGCCUUACCAUGUCCUCCAACAAAGCCGACGAGAUAAACUUCGGAUUCCUUCUCUUGAUUCCCACUUCCACUUUCACCACCCUCCUCCUCCUUCUUUUUCCGGUGGAGGCCUGUUUCCUCUCGCCGGCUCCGAUUACCUCGCCGCCGGUGGAUUUCACUCCAACAGUAACAACCACAUAUCCAACCCUAGCUACAGUAAUUUUAUGGGAUUUCUUGGUGGCCCAUCUUCCUCUUCAUCCGCUGCAGUCACCGUCGCCGGAGAUCCUUCCUUUAACGGUGAGCUCUCUUCCGGUGACGUUCUCGUCUUCAGACCCGAGCCUUUAUCCCUGUCUUUAUCAUCUCACCCUAGACUUGCCUACGAUCCAGUUGUUCCCGGCGCUGUUAGCUCCGGAUUCUCUAGAUCCGCCGCUGAAGCCGCUGCAGCCGCCGUCACCGUCGCGUCGAGAAGCUCCGGUCCUUUAGGACCGUUCACUGGCUACGCAUCCAUUCUGAAAGGCUCGAGGUUCUUGAAACCAGCACAGAUGCUUCUUGAUGAGUUUUGUAACGUGGGACGUGGGGUUUACACCGACAAAGUCAUGGAUGACGACGAUUCUUCUUUGCUUUUUGAUCCCACGGUUGAGACUCUCUGCGGCGUCUCUGAAGAACAUGGGAAGAAAAAAUCAAAACUCAUCUCCAUGCUCGACGAGGUAUAGUUAAUCAUACAAUUUCUAUCUUUUUUUCGUUCUAAAAAGCCAUCUAAACGUACACUCUGGUAAUGCUAUAAAAAUACCCAACUAAUACUGUAUUGUCUUAGACUUUUUUUUUUAUCACACAGACUUUUUAUACUUAUGUAUGUGCAUUAUUGUGUUAGAUGCUCACAGUUUUUGGUUGGCGUCCUUUGAAAUUGAAGACAAAAUGUAUGUCUCUUAGGAAGAUCUUCCUUGGAAAAUGGAACUCCUUCAAAGCCAUUUUAAACUAUACUAUCGUUUUAAAUAUUGUAUUCAGCGAGUAUGCAUUCUUAUUUUAACUAAUCAUUCCCUACGUUUUGCAUGAAUAGAAGAUGUUUAUUACCAAGUCCACAUUAAUGUUUACAAAGCUUGCCUUCAUCUUCCUUAUUAGUAGUAGCCUUUAAGGUUAUACUAAAUUAAUGAUAAAUAUUAUCUUGGGGAAGUAACUUUAUAUGGAGCUUACUUGUCUUUUGUCUAAACGUAUGAAUUGGAUUCUUUAAAUCUUUUGUGGAUAUAAAUUAAACUUGAUAAAAAAAAAGAGAAUAUCUUCUUUAUGAAAGGGAAUAUAUGCACGAGAUUGGUAUUUGAUCGCAAGCUAGGGACUUAAAGACUUAAUUAGUUUAUUUCGUGGUAUAAAGUGUACUUUUUGAGUGUGGAAAAAACGUAUGGUCCAUUGAAGUUUACAAUUUACACAUUUUAAUUAAUAUAAUUGGUUCGGAACUAAAGUCAUUUCUAUUGUGACGUUUUUACUAGGCUUACAAGAGGUAUAAGCAAUACUAUGAGCAGCUUCAAGCUGUAAUGGGCUCAUUCGAAUGCGUAGCAGGACUCGGGCAUGCAGCUCCUUAUGCAAGCUUAACUUUAAAGGCAUUGUCUAAGCAUUUCAAGUGUCUGAAGACUGCUAUAACACAAGUAAACAGGAUGAAAUCGAGUUUCUCUCUCUUGGCGAUUUUGCUCCCAGACACGAGUUUUGAGAUUGGUUAUUAACCAGGCAAGUCGUAGGCGCAUCCCGACAAACCGUUGGUUAAUAGUACUCCUUUUACACUAACUGGUCAACUGCUUCUCUGCUGGUUACGGAAAAGAUUCAAAUUGUUCCUGCUUUUGGAAGUAACUGCUGGUCCAAACCAAGCUCUGGUCAGAAACACAACGGGUUCUUUCCCCCGACUCGGGUCGGAGGGACCGCCGCCGUGACGAGCUCGCCUGAGUGGUACCGCUAGUUGACUGGGGCUCCGGUCUGUUUCAACUUUAUGUGAAACAAACUAGUUUUGGGUCUUGAAACCUUUCUCCAAGCUAUCUGCAAAAGGUUUUCAAGAAAAAUUUCAUCAUUCUGUCACCAUACCGAUUUACAGCAAAAGAGGCAACUUUGCUAUGGAGAGAAGACUUUCGGCUACUGAAAAAGGAAAAGGAAUCACUACAGGGGAGUACGAACCACCCCGAAAGGCGAGGGUGAGAAUCCAAGCUCCAGACAGCGUACCCCUUCUACAACAACACUCGCUCACACUGAUUGGUCGAGUGACAAACAACUCAACUCAAAAAGUUUGGAAUCUGAUUCCUUUCUUCGCAGAACACUGGCGGACUAAUACACCACCCAUUGGAGCUGAUUUGGGUCAGGGGGUCUUUAAGUUCCAGUUUGCUUCAGAGGAAGAUCUCCAGACGGUAUUAGAAAACCGCCCUUAUCACUACAAUCGAUGGAUGAUUAUACUCCAACGAUGGGAACUCACACUCUCCCCAAACUUCCCUUCACUCAUACCUUUUUGGAUCAAAGUUCAGGGUAUUCCGGUUCACCUUUGGACGGAAGAGACACUGAGGGCUAUAGGGGAAGACUUUGGACUGGUGGAAAGUGUCGAUAUUACAAACCAGGCAGCCAGAAUGAGGGUGCAUGUUAAUGGGAGGCUUCCCUUGAUUACAUCUUCAGUACUGGAGUAUUCAAGCGGCGAGGAAGUCACUGUAAACCUAGUUUAUGAACGACUAGAGAGACAUUGUUCCUUGUGCUUUCGGCUUGACCAUGAACUACGAGACUGUCUGGAAGCGAAAGCACAAAAGAAAGCUCAGGGCAGACAACAAUCUGCUCCCUUCAGGACUAAAGGUGGGGAAAACACUAGUGAGCAACAAGCAGCACAACAUCCUGAGCGAGGAACCCCCUUUCGAUUUACAGCUACAGACAAUGGCUCUGAACAGUCAAGAUACAAGGGAACUAGAACCUAUAUGGAACGGCGUCCUGAGAGGCGAAAUGAGAGAAAUACACUCUACAAGGCAGGAGAAGGGUAUAGGGGAGGAGAAGAAGAGGGCAGGAAAGGGAGAACAAAGAUCGCUCCAACGACCUAGAGACACAGAGACUCAGAAGAGAACGACAGAUGUCGCAUCGACGGAACUAUGAGGAAGGCACUAACGCAUUUAAAGCUAGAGAGCCUGCUCACAGACCUCAAGCGGUUUACAGAGAAGUGAGGAAGACUAGAGAGGUAUCAAGAAAGGUGUCGCCUGUUCAAACAAGGACUACGCCUACUCAUUCAAAAGGGGUUCCUUUUGAAAGUAGCCAGCAAACGAUACCAACAGAGGCACUAGAGACAGCAAUGGAAGAAAUCAGAGAGGUCAUGACACAGUAUUCAAACAUAGCUGACCCAUCUGAGAGUGCUGCUAGGAAGGAAAGAUUCCGACAAGCUGAAGAGCAGGGGCAAAUAAAAGAAACCGCAGAAGCCAUGGUGCGUGCUGAACUUGAAGCUCAAACGCAUGAGCUUCAAGACCUAGAGGAACCGGGAAUUCGAAUCCCUGCAUCCCACAGGAUAUCCUUUCCCCCUGCUACUGAAACACAUGUGGAACGGAUCCCAGCAUCACGCAGACUAGCGUUGGCUCCUCCUCCGGUGUCGGAGAAAGGAAGACUACCUAUAGCUUCUAGACUGGGAACAACAAAGUUGGUAAAGCCAUCAGAAACGGGAGGCGACCCUGAAGCCACAACAAAAAGAAAACCAGGAAGACCUCCGGGAAAAAGGAAAGUACUAGCAAGUCCGAGGACAGGAGCAGGAACAAACCCAAGGAGAAGGAAAACUCAACAAGCCAACGCUCCCAAGUGCAAGAAGAAGCUCAUCCCGGAUACAACAACUUCGGAAAAAGUUCCUAAAGCUAGACACAGUCGAGCAACAGAUAAACCCUCUGAACCAAGCGAUUCAGAAGACCGAGCUUCGGAUGACCAGCCCCUAAGGAACCUUCUACCCCUGAGGAAGAAGACGGUGGAUUUUCAAAAUCCACCAAAUCGAGUUCCUUAGCGAUACUGAGCUGGAACUGUCAGGGGUUGGGGAAUCCCCAGACAGUUCGCAGAUUAAGGGAGAUAAAGAAGCGCAAUGAUCCCGAUGUUAUCUUCCUUAUGGAAACAAAAAAUUCCUCAGAGAUGAUCCUUCAACGACUGGAGCAACUUAACUUUGAUCAUCACUACCUAGUGCCACCGACGGGACACGGCGCCGGAGGCCUAGCUCUCUUUUGGAAACAAAAUGUUGUACUCGAUAUUAUCUCGGCUGAUGCAAAUUGUAUUGAAACGAGUAUUACAUUCGAAGGAAGGAAUUUCUUUUCAUCUUUUGUCUAUGGAAAUACAGACAGACCUCUCC